RNAcentral lists this ribosomal RNA (579 nucleotides) under Meyerozyma guilliermondii. RNAcentral's name for it is "partial large subunit ribosomal RNA". It matches the Rfam family "Eukaryotic large subunit ribosomal RNA", at positions 45 to 639 of the family's 3401-position model. The record is from RNAcentral. Lineage: Eukaryota; Fungi; Ascomycota; Pichiomycetes; Serinales; Debaryomycetaceae.
CAUAAGGUGAGGAAGAGAAACCCACGGGUACCGCCUUUGUAGCGGCGAGUGAGCGGCAAAAGCUCAAAUUUGAAAUCUGGCGCCUUCGGUGUCCGAGUUGUAAUUUGAAGAAGGUAACUUUGGGGUUGGCCCUUGCCUAUGUUCCUUGGAACAGGACUUCAAGGAGGGGGAAAAUCCCGUGGGAUUGGAUGGCCAAUUCUAUGUAAAGUGCCUUCCAACAAUCCAGUUGUUUGGGAAUGCAGCUCUAAGUGGGUGGUAAAUUCCAUCUAAAGCUAAAUAUUGGCCAGAGACCGAUAGCGAACAAGUACAGUGAUGGAAAGAUGAAAAAAACUUUGAAAAGAAAGUGAAAAAGUACGUGAAAUUGUUGAAAGGGAAGGGUUUGAGAUCAGACUUGGUAUUUUGUGAUCCUUGCCUUCUCGGGCGGGUGCCCUCCAUCUUAGCGGGGCCAGCUUCGUUUGGGGGGGAGGAUAAAGGGGCGGGAGAGUGACUCUCUUCCGAUGGAGUGUUAUACCCUGGGAUUGAUGCUGCCUGCCUAGACAGAAGACUGCGACUUUAUCCUCGGACGCUGGGGUUAUGAUC